UGAACGCUACGCGGCAGGCCUAAUACAUAGCAAGUCGGACGGUGCAGUAGCAAUGCUGCAGAGUGGCAACGGGUGCGUAACGCGUAAACGAACCUAGCCCCCAACUGGCGCAUAGCCCGGCGGAAAGCUGGGGUAAGUUCGCCAUGGUCCUGCCCCUCACCUGGGGGGCGAAGUAAAGGCCGUUCGGGCCGGUUGGGAGGGGUUUGCGUCUGAUUAGGUAGUUGGGGGGUAGCGGCCCACCAAGCCGAUGAUCAGUCGGGGCUCUGAGAGGAGGGUCCCCCACAUGGGCACUGCGACACGGGCCCAACUCCUACGGGAGGCAGCAGUAGGGAAUAUUGGGCAAUGGCCGAGAGGCUGACCCAGCCAUGCCGCGUGCCGGACGAAGGCCCUCUGGGUUGUAAACGGCUUUUAUCCAGGAAGAAGAGUAGCGCUGCGGCGCUAUGUGACGGUACUGGAGGAAUCAGCACCGGCUAACUCCGUG
Molecule: ribosomal RNA, 481 nt
Filed under: uncultured Sphingobacteriales bacterium
Lineage: Bacteria; Pseudomonadati; Bacteroidota; Sphingobacteriia; Sphingobacteriales
Description: bacterial SSU rRNA
Rfam family: Bacterial small subunit ribosomal RNA
Source: RNAcentral